GUUGAACGAGAGAUGAGGAGCUUGCUCUUCAAAUCGAGUGGCGAACGGGUGAGUAACGCGUGAGGAACCUGCCUCAAAGAGGGGGACAACAGUUGGAAACGACUGCUAAUACCGCAUAAGCCCACAGCUCGGCAUCGAGCAGGGGGAAAAGGAGUGAUCCGCUUUGAGAUGGCCUCGCGUCCGAUUAGCUAGUUGGUGAGGUAACGGCCCACCAAGGCGACGAUCGGUAGCCGGACUGAGAGGUUGAACGGCCACAUUGGGACUGAGACACGGCCCAGACUCCUACGGGAGGCAGCAGUGGGGAAUAUUGCACAAUGGGGGAAACCCUGAUGCAGCGACGCCGCGUGGAGGAAGAAGGUCUUCGGAUUGUAAACUCCUGUUGUUGAGGAAGAUAAUGACGGUACUCAACAAGGAAGUGACGGCUAACUACGUGCCAGCAGCCGCGGUAAAACGUAGGUCACAAGCGUUGUCCGGAAUUACUGGGUGUAAAGGGAGCGCAGGCGGGAGAACAAGUUGGAAGUGAAAUCCAUGGGCUCAACCCAUGAACUGCUUUCAAAACUGUUUUUCUUGAGUAGUGCAGAGGUAGGCGGAAUUCCCGGUGUAGCGGUGGAAUGCGUAGAUAUCGGGAGGAACACCAGUGGCGAAGGCGGCCUACUGGGCACCAACUGACGCUGAGGCUCGAAAGUGUGGGUAGCAAACAGGAUUAGAUACCCUGGUAGUCCACACCGUAAACGAUGAUUACUAGGUGUUGGAGGAUUGACCCCUUCAGUGCCGCAGUUAACACAAUAAGUAAUCCACCUGGGGAGUAC
RNAcentral lists this ribosomal RNA (809 nucleotides) under uncultured bacterium. RNAcentral's name for it is "bacterial SSU rRNA". It matches the Rfam family "Bacterial small subunit ribosomal RNA", at positions 61 to 883 of the family's 1533-position model. The record is from RNAcentral.